RNAcentral lists this ribosomal RNA (433 nucleotides) under uncultured archaeon. Its description in RNAcentral is "bacterial SSU rRNA". It matches the Rfam family "Archaeal small subunit ribosomal RNA", at positions 19 to 458 of the family's 1478-position model. The record is from RNAcentral.
GGACCUGACUGCUAUCGGAUUGCUUUAAGCCAUGCGAGUCUUUGUAGUAAUACAAGGCAGACGGCUCAGUAACGCGUAGUCAAUCUACCCUAUGGACGAGGAUAACCUCGGGAAACUGAGAGUAAUACUCGAUAGAACAUUAUGCCUGGAAUGGUUUAUGUUCCAAAUGAUUUAUCGCCGUAGGAUGGGACUGCGGCCUAUCAGUUUGUUGGUGAGGUAAUGGCCCACCAAGACUAUUACAGGUACGGGCCCUGAGAGGAGUGGCCCGGAGAUGGGUACUGAGACACGGACCCAGGCCCUAUGGGGCGCAGCAGGCGAGAAAACUUUGCAAUGUGCGAAAGCACGACAAGGUUAAUCCGAGUGGUUUCUGCUAAAGAGACCUUUUGUCGGUCCUAGAAACACCGAUGAAUAAGGGGUGGGCAAGUUCUGGUGU